Molecule: ribosomal RNA, 478 nt
Filed under: uncultured bacterium
Lineage: Bacteria
Description: partial 16S ribosomal RNA
Rfam family: Bacterial small subunit ribosomal RNA
Source: RNAcentral
GACGAACGCUGGCGGCGUGCUUAACACAUGCAAGUCGAACGGUAAGGCCCUUCGGGGUACACGAGUGGCGAACGGGUGAGUAACACGUGGGUGAUCUGCCCUGCACUUCGGGAUAAGCCUGGGAAACUGGGUCUAAUACCGGAUAGGACCACUGCCUGCAUGGGGGGUGGUGAAAAGCUUUUGCGGUGUGGGAUGGGCCCGCGGGCUAUCAGCUUGUUGGUGGGGUGAUGGCCUACCAAGGCGACGACGGGUAGCCGGCCUGAGAGGGUGACCGGCCACACUGGGACUGAGAUACGGCCCAGACUCCUACGGGAGGCAGCAGUGGGGAAUAUUGCACAAUGGGCGCAAGCCUGAUGCAGCGACGCCGCGUGAGGGAUGACGGCCUUCGGGUUGUAAACCUCUUUCAGCACCGACGAAGCGCAAGUGACGGUAGGUGCAGAAGAAGGACCGGCCAACUACGUGCCAGCCGCCGCCGUAA